This 558-nucleotide ribosomal RNA is filed under the name Lasiodiplodia theobromae. RNAcentral's name for it is "eukaryotic LSU rRNA". The stretch from base 197 to 350 matches the Rfam family "5.8S ribosomal RNA". The record is from RNAcentral. Lineage: Eukaryota; Fungi; Ascomycota; Dothideomycetes; Botryosphaeriales; Botryosphaeriaceae.
UUAGAGGAAGUAAAAGUCGUAACAAGGUUUCCGUAGGUGAACCUGCGGAAGGAUCAUUACCGAGUUUUCGAGCUUCGGCUCGACUCUCCCACCCUUUGUGAACGUACCUCUGUUGCUUUGGCGGCUUCGGCCGCCAAAGGACCUUCAAACUCCAGUCAGUAAACGCAGACGUCUGAUAAACAAGUUAAUAAACUAAAACUUUCAACAACGGAUCUCUUGGUUCUGGCAUCGAUGAAGAACGCAGCGAAAUGCGAUAAGUAAUGUGAAUUGCAGAAUUCAGUGAAUCAUCGAAUCUUUGAACGCACAUUGCGCCCCUUGGUAUUCCGGGGGGCAUGCCUGUUCGAGCGUCAUUACAACCCUCAAGCUCUGCUUGGAAUUGGGCACCGUCCUCACUGCGGACGCGCCUCAAAGACCUCGGCGGUGGCUGUUCAGCCCUCAAGCGUAGUAGAAUACACCUCGCUUUGGAGCGGUUGGCGUCGCCCGCCGGACGAACCUUCUGAACUUUUCUCAAGGUUGACCUCGGAUCAGGUAGGGAUACCCGCUGAACUUAAGCAUAUC